CUUGGAAUAUUCAUCUUCGUUUGUCUUCACUCUUCUUCACAUUAUUUGACUCCCUCUAGGCUUUAGGCUCCUACCAACUACAUGUCUGCAUAUGGUGGGGCAUCGAAGUUGAGUUCUAACUUCACGAUUUAACACUUUCCAAGAGACGAGUUUGAGUCUCUGAAUUCUGGCUCUGAGAUUGAAGAACCAAAAACAAGAAGAAGAAGAAGAAAAACAGAGCCAUGGGGAAGGUUGCAGCACUACCAAUAGUUGGGAUGGUGUUGGCUGAGAGUGCACAAGCUGGGCUAAUUAUAGUGAGCAAAGUAGCCAUGUCUAAUGGCAUGAGCAACCUCAUCUUUCUCUGCUACUCAAACGCUCUUGCAGCCCUUAUCCUCCUCCCAAUUUCCUUAGCCUUCCACAGAUCCGAACGUCCUCCUCUCACUUUCUCUACCCUCUGUUGGUUCUUCUUGCUUGGUCUAAUUGGAUUCAUGGCGCAGUUUUUUGGGUAUGCUGGGAUUAAUUUGAGCUCUCCUACUCUAAGCACGGCUAUGCUCAACCUCAUUCCAGCUUUUACCUUUAUACUGGCAGUCAUCUUUAGAAUGGAAAGAAUUGAUGGGAGAAGCUCCAGUAGCCUUGCUAAAACCUUGGGAACAAUAGUUUCAAUUUCAGGGGCUUUCAUUGUUACUCUUUACAAGGGCCCCCCACUUCUGAUGACAUCCUCAACUGAUAUAUUGUCUCAUAACCAACUUUUCUCGGAACAGUCAAACUGGGUCCUUGGAGGAGUGUGCAUUGCGCUUAAUUGUGUGUUGGCCUCAUCUUGGCUUAUAGUACAGGCAUCAGUUCUAAAGAAAUACCCCGCAGAGCUGAUUAUGGUAUUUUAUUAUUGCUUCUUUGUGGCUAUUCAAUCUGUAGUAGUCUCUUUGACUGUAGAAAGAGACCUAAGUGCAUGGGAAUUGAAGCCUAAAAUCAGGUUGAUCGCUGUUCUAUACUCGGGAGUCUUUGGCUCAGCAUUCCAGGUUGGUGUAUCUACUUGGUGCCUUCAUAGGACAGGGCCUGUUUUUGUAGCUAUGUUCAAGCCUUUGGGGAUUGUCAUUACAGUUUUCGUUGGUGUCACCUUCUUAGGAGAUACUUUCUACCUUGGAAGUUUGAUAGGAGCAAUUGUUAUUGUCAUUGGAUUUUAUUCUGUGAUGUGGGGAAAAUCAAAAGAAGAGAAGAUGGAUGAUGAUACAGGAGCAAGGAGUGUGGCAUCAAGUAGACAACGGGUCCCUCUAUUGCAGAGCCAUAUUGAAGAAAUAUAGAAGUUUCUAUGCAGUACAUCGCCCUGUGUGGUCUCUCUUGCCAAAAAACACGGGCCAUGCUUGUUGGGAAUUAGUCACCCUAAGUAAUGCAGGACAAGGAACAACCAUUUGAUAUUGUCCAAGUCAAGGCAAUCAUUUGGCACAAAGAUUUCUUCUACUCUUUUUUCUUUUUCCUGGUAAUCCUGCAUACAUCCAAAGGCAGUUUGUUGGUGCAAACUGAGCAUGGUUGCAAGUUUGUGCAAAUACCAUGAGAAGGUCAUGAACAUGUGGAGCAUGAUCAAAGAUAUCAGCUGCAUGAGUUGAAUAUUGAGUUUGCAGGGUCAAAGCUGCCUCAAGAGCAACAUGUCAGUGAGGAGCAGCUCCUUUGCUUGGAAGUGAAAUAUACUCUUUCUCUUUGGUUUUUAGAUGUAUGAUAUCCUUCAUUACUUGUGGUAAAUAAGGUAAUAAUGUUGGAAUUAGGCAUUGGGGGAGAAAAUGAUGGCAAAGGCCAAAGUUCUUGAAGAACAUAUUUUCAACUGUGUAAUCAAAUACAAUAUAAGAAUAUUAUAAUCAAUAUCAAGAGCUUUUCAUACAUCCAA
This is a non-coding RNA of Prunus mume (Japanese apricot), 1855 nucleotides long. The record is from RefSeq and is a predicted model, not a curated record. Lineage: Eukaryota; Viridiplantae; Streptophyta; Magnoliopsida; Rosales; Rosaceae.